CUCUACUCAGAAAGCAGAAUAUCUUCCCCAGACAUUAAGACAGAAAUCUAAUACUUGUAUGCCACUUUGUUUGGUUUACAAGUUUGGCUCUUCUGUUAUAUUG
Small nucleolar RNA from Quercus robur (English oak), 103 nucleotides. The record is from RefSeq and is a predicted model, not a curated record. Lineage: Eukaryota; Viridiplantae; Streptophyta; Magnoliopsida; Fagales; Fagaceae.